This 468-nucleotide ribosomal RNA is filed under the name uncultured bacterium. RNAcentral's name for it is "partial 16S ribosomal RNA". It matches the Rfam family "Bacterial small subunit ribosomal RNA", at positions 28 to 507 of the family's 1533-position model. The record is from RNAcentral.
GACGAACGCUGGCGGCGUGCUUAACACAUGCAAGUCGAACGGAAAGGCCCUGCUUUUGUGGGGUGCUCGAGUGGCGAACGGGUGAGUAACACGUGAGUAACCUGCCCUUGACUUUGGGAUAACUUCAGGAAACUGGGGCUAAUACCGGAUAGGAGCUCCUGCUGCAUGGUGGGGGUUGGAAAGUUUCGGCGGUUGGGGAUGGACUCGCGCCUUAUCAGCUUGUUGGUGGGGUAGUGGCUUACCAAGGCUUUGAAGGGUAGCCUGCCUGAGAGGGUGACCUGCCACAUUGGGACUGAGCUACGGCCCAGACUCCUACGGGAGGCAGCAGUGGAGAAUAUUGCACUAUGGGCGGAAGCCUGAUGCAGCAACGCCGCGUGCGGGAUGACGGCCUUCGGGUUGUAUUCCGCUUUCGCCUGUGACGAAGCGUGAAUGACGGUAAUGGGUAAAGAAGCACCGGCUAACUACGUG